UCCUACUUGGUAUAACGGUUAGCAUACUUGGUUCUCACCCAAGUGAUCCGGGUUCGAUUCCCGGAGUAGGAG
Non-coding RNA from Spironucleus salmonicida, 72 nucleotides. The record is from Rfam. Lineage: Eukaryota; Fornicata; Diplomonadida; Hexamitidae.